CAGGACGAACGCUGGCGGCGUGCUUAACACAUGCAAGUCGAGCGGUAAGGCCUUUCGGGGUACACGAGCGGCGAACGGGUGAGUAACACGUGGGUGAUCUGCCCUGCACUCUGGGAUAAGCCCGGGAAACUGGGUCUAAUACCGGAUAUGACUGUCCCAUGCAUGUGGGGUGGUGGAAAGAUUUAUCGGUGCAGGAUGGGCCCGCGGCCUAUCAGCUUGUUGGUGGGGUAAUGGCCUACCAAGGCGACGACGGGUAGCCGACCUGAGAGGGUGACCGGCCACACUGGGACUGAGACACGGCCCAGACUCCUACGGGAGGCAGCAGUGGGGAAUAUUGCACAAUGGGCGGAAGCCUGAUGCAGCGACGCCGCGUGAGGGAUGAAGGCCUUCGGGUUGUAAACCUCUUUCAGCAGGGACGAAGCGUGAGUGACGGUACCUGCAGAAGAAGCACCGGCUAACUACGUGCCAGCAGCCGCGGUAAUACGUAGGGUGCGAGCGUUGUCCGGAAUUACUGGGCGUAAAGAGUUCGUAGGCGGUUUGUCGCGUCGUUUGUGAAAACCCGGGGCUCAACUUCGGGCUUGCAGGCGAUACGGGCAGACUUGAGUGUUUCAGGGGAGACUGGAAUUCCUGGUGUAGCGGUGAAAUGCGCAGAUAUCAGGAGGAACACCGGUGGCGAAGGCGGGUCUCUGGGAAACAACUGACGCUGA
This 707-nucleotide ribosomal RNA is filed under the name Rhodococcus sp. VP11-3. Its description in RNAcentral is "bacterial SSU rRNA". It matches the Rfam family "Bacterial small subunit ribosomal RNA", at positions 25 to 749 of the family's 1533-position model. Lineage: Bacteria; Bacillati; Actinomycetota; Actinomycetes; Mycobacteriales; Nocardiaceae. The record is from RNAcentral.